Molecule: ribosomal RNA, 379 nt
Filed under: uncultured cyanobacterium
Lineage: Bacteria; Bacillati; Cyanobacteriota
Description: bacterial SSU rRNA
Rfam family: Bacterial small subunit ribosomal RNA
Source: RNAcentral
CGAAAGCCUGACGGAGCAACGCCGCGUGAGGGAUGAAGGCCUCUGGGCUGUAAACCUCUUUUCUCAAGGAAGAAGAUCUGACGGUACUUGAGGAAUAAGCCACGGCUAAUUCCGUGCCAGCAGCCGCGGUAAUACGGGAGUGGCAAGCGUUAUCCGGAAUUAUUGGGCGUAAAGCGUCCGCAGACGGCCUUGUAAGUCUGCCGUUAAAGCGUGGAGCCCAACUCCAUUUCAGCGGUGGAAACUACAAGGCUUGAGUGUGGUAGGGGCAGAGGGAAUUCCCGGUGUAGCGGUGAAAUGCGUAGAUAUCGGGAAGAACACCAGUGGCGAAGGCGCUCUGCUGGGCCAUAACUGACGCUCAUGGACGAAAGCCAGGGGAGCG